CUGAAACAUAAAUUUUCUUGAAAAAAGAAUAUGAGGCAAAGUACUCAGUAAUUUGGAAAGUGGGGAUGAAAUAUGGACCUCCCCAACUUCAGCACCACACCCAAGGAAGAUACAAAGAAUCAUAAAACCCAACCUCAAGCAUAAAAUAAACAAAUGUGUGAGUAAGAAGUUACCCUGUUUAUCUUAUUAAAGCCCUGAUUUUAUACAAUGUCACGGUAGCACAUACAGGAAAGAUGGAAAACUGUAAUGUACCAGCUCCGUAUAAGACCAUCACCAGUCCCUACAAGGCAGAGAGAGGUUUGCUUUCUGAUUUGCUUUCCUGUGCCAGUUGAGAACGCCCUGUUCCCACCUAACAGACAGAGGCAGCUUUGCACACCAAGUCAGGCGACGCUCAAUAACAGGCAGGCAGCCACACUAGAAUAGAAGUCUGCAGGUACAUGAUAAAAAGAUAUUGUUGUGUAAGAUGUUUUGUAAGAAAAAGCAAUUCUUUGUAAGAAAAAGCAGUGCCCAGAGAUGAGAAAGAAUGAGAUCAUCACUCAAUCUGUUCUACAGAAAAAUUUCUCCUUGAAUUUCAAGAGUUUAAAAGAGGAUUGCAAAUCUAUGAUUUUGCACCUGUGAGACCCAAAGUUAUUAAGAGGAAAUCACCCUAAUUUAACAGGAGAAAAAACAUAAUCUCACAUGCUUUCAGUUCUUAUUCAAAAUCAAAAUGUGACUACUAUUCUCAGCCAACAGCCAUAAAUAACCAGCCUCCACAUGAACAAAGGACAUUAAAGAAUUAAACAUGAUAACUGACAUCUUUGUCAUAAUGUUUAUUUUGCUGACAAGAACAAAUUGGAGCAAAUCUAAAAGAUGAGCCUAUAAAGAGUACAUAAUCACCACUUAUCCAACAUCUUUACUCUUUGAACAUUGCAAAAUACAGAACCUUCUGUCUGUACUGCUACAUAACAGCACUCACAAACCAUCAAGAACUACAGUCUGGAAUGCUGAAAAACAAAAUUAAAAAGUAUUAGGAGAAAAGAUGCACAUCCCUGGCCAUCCCUCCCCUUUAAAACAUGCAGCUGACUCAAAAUACAAGUAUCUUGUUAAAGAAACAGAUCAAGGUUUAACAUUUUAUUGUGUUUGCACUUGAAAAACUACUUAUUUGGGAAAAGUUGUUAAAAAGUUCAUUCCUCUCCAGAUUUCUAAGGAUGUUACAAGGUAAGCUACAAGGAAUUAAUCUCAAAUAUGUCUUUACAGCACCACAUAAUUGAAAAAUAAGUGACCUGCAGAAUUCUUUGGACAAAACAAUGUAGAACAACAGUCUACAUCAAAAGGAAAAAAACCCACCUUCAAUGAAAUUACUAGUUACUGAUUAUAAACAAAAAUGAGCAUUGAAAAUUAAGGAUUUAACAAUUAAAGUGAAAUAAAAAUCCAUCUUUACACCCACACAGCUGAUACAAUCUCUAGAACAUAAAGAAUAUAAAAACCUAACAGGAAGGAUGGCAUAAGAAAAAGUCUGGCUGUUAGGUUCAGCUGUACUCAGCUAUAGACUUCCUGUGUCAUCAUGGGCACAUCACUCUAUUUGUUUUACAGAAUAUUUUUCAGAACAAAACUCCAAAUUCUUCCUGAUAACAUCUGCCCAACAAAAUUACAUUCAAGUAGUACAACUGUUAUUCCCAGAGCAAUUCAUUUAGCAUCUGAGAAUUUCUGCUAAUACAACUAGCAUUUUUUAAACUCUGCUUUAGAGUUUACAAGUCACAUGCAUCCAGAGCAGUUUAAAAGGACAAGCCUACCCUAGUAAAUGAUUUGCACACAUUCACAACUUAGCUGAAGUUUAUAACUACUUAUCAAACUGCUGUGUGCAGAAAUAAUGAGUUAAGAAUGCAGUGAAUAUAAACCAACAGCAUCUGACAGUUCACAAUGAAAUCUGGACAAAUGACUCCCCAACACAUACAAUCCAUAACCAUGGGUGAGGGCUUGAGCCUCUGUUUAAAAAUCACACAGAGCAGGCAGAAGUGCUGCCUUACAUGCCUUACAGAGCCAUCCACUGUCAAAACUGCUGACUCCAUUUUUGUUAGCCUGAAACUAAAUAUGUGUAUUAUGCAAACACAAAACUCCAAUCUGAACAAGAGAGGAUGAAGAUAAUUUUUAUUGUGACUAGCAUACUCCUGAAAUAUCUGCUUUCUAUCAUUAUAGAGAGGAAAAAAAACAUAUAAAGAAAAAUAAUCAAAGAUAUUAACAUACUAAAAGGAACACAAAGCAAUACAGAGCAGCAUAGAAAGAUGUGAGUGGAUAAAUUAUCCAAUGUAAGUUUAGACUACUUCUUUGAAUGCCUGACAUUUUGAAGGAACAAAAGCACUGUUUAUUUCCCAGCUUGUUUCACAGCUUUUGUUUGAAGAGCCUGUGUACUGAUUGAAUUUGAAGAUCUUCCAAAUACUGUGAGUGGGUGGACAAAAAGCAAAACUGGCAACUGAAUUGUCACUCAUUCUGCGACAGCUGCCACAGCAAAUACAACAUUGCAGAUGGACAUUUACCUCUAAAUAGGACUGUACCUAAAGGGGAAGUUAGAAACACCAUGACACAAGCAAAUGGUCACAGUAACACCAUAACACAGUAAGAAUCAAACUUUCUUCACAUUACAAAUACAGAAGUGACUAAAGAAAACAAGUAGAGGCACCAUCUUUUAGCACUGUGUGCAGUAAGGAAAGCUUUUGGAAAAAGAGAACAGAUUUUCUUUAAAGUGAAAUAAAGGGGAUUUAUAUCAUAUACACAAUUCUUUUUAAUACAUGCAUAGUGCCAGUGCGCAGGAUGCUUUUGACUAUUUCUUAAAAAGACAACACAAUUAUUAUUUUUCAGUUUUUCCAAACAAAACCAAUCAGAGUUGGUUUUACCCUUUAUAUCAGAGUAAAAAUUCCAAGUUUUAACAUCAUCGUGCUAUGCCAGUCACCUGAUCCACCCUAUGAGUACUCCAGGAGCAUUAAGCAGCACAACAGCAGCACCUUUAGGGGAGUAUCAAGUAUGUUUUUGUCCAGUUUUAUUUCUGUCUCCCUUUGCCUUUCUUUCUCCACUGUUCCAGAGACACGUGACAACUCCUUUUAAAAAGUUAAGUAAAUUCCUCAGUGCUAAAAUGCUCCAGUUUGCUUGCUCUGGGCUUGGUUCCCAGAACUUCUUGUUUCUGAGACUGCCCACAAAGCAGAGUUUUCAGUUGCCUAUACUCUUGCAAAAACAAGUCACCUGCUUCCAAGUCAUUAAAGCCCAGGCCAGACGUAGUCUAGUCAAAAAGCAAAAGGAAGAACAGGUAGUCCUGUAUGAGGCCCAGGCAGCAAGGAGGAAGAAGGCAGGCAAUCUAAAUAGAGAACAAGAUUUGGAAUUCUUCUGAAACUGUGAUGUCAAAGUGACUGGAGCAAGGACCCUCAAAGGAAACUCAAGGAAAGAAAUUUCAAGAAUGAUUCUGAAUGAGGAACAGGCAGGAAGAAAAGAUGGGAAGUACUGGGACUAGGAAUCAGUAAGAACAGAGAAACAUGGCAAGAAUAGCAACUUAAUGGCCAGUAAAGCAGAGAAGAGCAAAACAGAAUGGGGAGAGAGAACUGAAGAAACUGGGAACGAUGAAUGAGACAACCAAGAAAACUGAAACGGGAAUGUCUGGUAAAAAUAAAAAAAAAGAGACAACUGUAACUGGCAAGGUGAGGUAAAUGGAAAUGUAAAAGCAAAUGAAAUGGAUUAAGUACCAAAGUUUCCACCAGCUCCACUCAGGAGCUCUACGAUUGAUGAAUGUUAAUUAAUGGCAAGCCAGAAGCAAUACUGACUGUCAUGAAUGGAGGAAGAUGCAUGCCAUAAAAAACGAAGUAUUUUCAUGAACUGAACCAAUAAACUUAGAUUUUUUAAUGUUCCAUGUCUCAUCACUGAGUUUUCUGAUAAGAAGUCUCUCCCAUAGCAUUUUCUUCAUGUGGAUUUUCUGACACACUAUAAGAGCUGAGUGCAGCCUCCAAUCUUUCCUCCAAGGAAGAAGCAGAUGAAAAAGAAAGAUAAUAGUAGUAGGAUCUUGAUCCAGCCAUCUCUUUUUUUAUAUUCCCAAGAAGCCUAAUAUCUUUCAGCUUUUUAUCAGAUUUCACUGACCUAUAGUGCAGAGCAAAAGUUCCAGUAAGUAUACACAUUCAUAUCUACAUACAAUAGGACUGUAUAAACUUUACUUUUUCAGAUAUAGUUGCCAAAAAAAUAUCUAAAAGCUUUUAGGUACCACAUCUUGAACUUUUUUUUUUUUUUUAAUAAGUUGUUGCGCAGAUUUGUUGUUGAUGAAAAUUGUUUAAAAGAUAAUAUAUGUAUAAGGUAUAUAUACAUAAGUCCUAUCUCUUCUUGGCAGAAUUUCACACAAGGAAUGGAGAUUGCUCCCGGGAGGGCAGGAGCAUCACCCGAUGGGGUUUUUGAGAAGCCUAUUACGCAGUUUGCAGGACCCCACGUGAGAGCCAUCUCAGAGAGCUACUGACUAUCCAGGUUCCCAGGUGUAAUGCACUGAAAGCAAGUCGUCAGGGUUGAAAUCAUCUUCAGAUCUUCAAAUGGGCACAUCUUGUCCUCUUUUGUAAAAAGAAAUGAAGCCCACAAUGUAUCGCUUAUGGACUGAGCUUAUGCACUUAUGGAGCAUUAGCUUGAAGCAGGGAUAUUUGUGGGAGAGUUUUGGAGGACACUAAGAUGUCCUAUGAGACUAAGACCUUCUGGUGCUAAUUGCUGCCUAAUCACAAAGUGGGCUUCAUCUGUACAGGUAAGUAUAAAGAUAAGAAACAAUUGCUACUUUUAAUGCUAACUUGGUUUUCUGAUGUUUCAUGCUUGGGAAUGUCUCAACCCAUCUUUCUUUGUCAUCAUUUCAAAACCUUCAUCUGGGUUCUGACAGGCCAAAGGGCAUAGCUAGGAUUUGGAUUUGCUCUGUCAUUAACAAUUUUUGUGAUGAUAAGGAAGUUUUGCUUUAUAAACAUACUUUGCUAGUCAAAACUACUGAUGUUGAUAUAGGUUUACACAGAAGACUAUCUGUAGGACACAUCUUGAAGAAUCACAUUAAUUUUAAGGUAUAAAAAACUUAUUUUGUAAAUAAGUGGCAAAAGCACACACACACCUUGAUAUGUGAUUUCUGUAAGGAAAACACAGGCUCAAAGUAUUUCUCAUAAAUGUUUGGCCUGAUCUUUAACCAUCUGGUAUUUUAUAAAACCUUCUAAUACCAUAAAAAGUGAGCACAAUAUGUAAUCAAUUUAAUCUGAUACUGAUUACUACUGUUUGAUCUUCAGAAACUUUUAUUCAUGACUUUGGUUCCUUAUCUGUCUGCGGCUUUUCUUCAUUCUUAAGGGAAGAAACAAAAUACUGAAGUGCUUGCUGCAGAGAAUGAUCUCCCUGUUGUCUUUAUUUUGUUAGUGAGAGUUUCUUAAAUCCAUUUUGGUGUAACCAUUUAUUUAAUUUUCAUAAAUGACCGGAGCAUUAUGCAGAUGAAAGUGAUCUUGUUGCUUGCAGUAUCAUGUCAGGAUCACGUCUUUUAUCUUUUACUGCAGCACACUGGGGGAAAUUAAGAAUUUCUAUUUUAGAACCACACUGCUAGAUAAGCAUCCUACGUCUGUGUAGGAGGUUUCUUUCUUUAAUGCCUUGUGUGCCAUUUCCAUUUAAUAAUAUCUCACAGUUACACAUUUUAAAAAAGGUUCUACUAGUACUUUUUCUGAAAUCUGCAACCAGUGAAGUAUUAAUAUAAGUAUGGUUUUUCUGUUAUACUCUAAGAUUCAGAUAUGUCUGUUUCAAAAUAAAAAGAACUGGAAUUUUCCCAAUGUAAUAUAAAGCAUCACCACUGAAAAAUUAAAAAUAAAAUGUUGUUGUUAUGGCCUGUAGUUGUUGUAUAUACUUUGUAGUGCAGAAUUGUAAUUCAAAACAGGAAAGAUGAAAGUGUUUUUAAAUGAAGAAUACUGGUAACCUUGAAAGUAUUUCUUCUUACUGCUGGCUUUUCCAAUUUGUCAAAAAUGUACUGCCAGAUCUGAAAAAAAAAGUUAUUAAAUGCAAGUUAUCCCUUAUUUUUAUUUGUUUCACAACCUAUGUGCAUGGAAAUUUACAAUGUUUAAUGAAAAGAAAGCUAAAUUUGUCGUUUAGAAAGAACUGAGUUUGUUAUAAACUAAGCUGCACUAUGUGAGACUCCAAUAUACUAGACAAUCCUGAAAAAUGUGGCAAAGGAGGAUAUGUGAUCACAAAAGCUCAAAUGAGUUAUUCAGAACACAAAAUGAUCCUUGUACAAUCAAACUUGAACUGUGCUAUGUUUCUUUAGUUAAAAUUGCUGGCAGCAAAUGGUCAAGACAAGUGUUUCUGUCUGAAUCAGGGACGGAAAACAUAUGAACACCAUUUGUUGAAAAUGCUACUGAUUGCUGCAUCAGAGCAAGAGGCAGCAGUGGGUGGCAGACUGUGCUGCAUAGUGAAAUCAUAACAUUAACAGAAUACUUCAUAGCAUUACUAUUCUUUUUCAUAACUGAAAUUCAAAUUAAUUGGAAAACUGCUCUGUAUUUUUAACUAAUGCACCCUAAUGCUAGAAGAGCUAGUGCUAAUAGCUUAUAGAAGCACAAAAAGAAAUGGGUCUUCUAGAAUCAGAAAAAAAUUGUUCAUGUGAGGGAUGUGUAUAGGGCUGUGGGAAGUCAUGCACAGUAUAUGUAGUGUAGCUUCCUUGUAAGACUCCUUGGUAUGCUAAUCCUUGAUCAAAUAGAAUUGAAAAAUCCAUGUUGUAGGAUUCAACCUAACUGUGGAAAAACACAUUUGGGGUGUAGAUAGAGAUGAAACCUGAUGAAAGGAGAAUAAAGGUAGGUGGAAACAAGGAGGAAAAUGAAUGAGGAGGAAGCUGCUUCUGAAGGAACUUUUCUUGCACUAGCAUCAUGUUUCUGCAGUGCUAUUUCUGAAAAGCAAGUACUGGUUUGUCAAAGACGACUAAGUAGAUUUGCAAACUCUCAAGAUAAACAAAGGCAUAUUUUUGGCGCUUUGUGUAGGGCUUGUUUCAGAGCUGCUGGAUAUUAGUAGAAAACUUCUCAUCCAUUCAGUAUGUGGACAUUCUGGAAAUACAGCACUUGGUUGUUAUCAGUCAAUUAUUAAUGACUAUGAUAUCAGUAAAUCAGCUGUUGUGUUCAGCUGCCCUAUGAAUGAGCAUUUACAGAGACUUUCAGCUGCUCCCUCUCAGGAAAAGAAGAGGGAUCAGUAAGCACAGCUGUCCUGGACAGAAUUAAUGGUGCCACUUACUGUAUUCUAGGAGACUAUACUUGCCCUUAUCAUGGGUAAUAAAGUAUUUUAUUGAACAUAUGAAACUUAGACAACAACUGUUCUCACUCUGCUAAAUAGCUGCGGAAUAACUGUGAAGGUUGUCUUUUAGAGAGUGAUCAACAGCUGGUAACUGGAAGGGCUGGGGAGGAUCGGCAAAACUGGCUUGAAAUUGUAACUGUGCUGUAUCUUACCCAGAAUAGCUGGUAGGCAGUAAAGAGGCUUUCUGCCAUUUCUGAAUGACAAUAUCUCAAGGCAUUUUGGGGAUAUAAUUAAUACACUUACUGAGGAAAUGAGAGCUUGUUCGGAUGCCUUUCUUUCUGUUUUUUGUGCAGCUUUCUGUGGUGUGCCAUGCAAGGUAGUACUAACAGUACACACCUCUAGAUCACUUAAUGGGUACUGGCUUUGCAAACACAGCAAGUCACCUUAAUUUUAAAUAUAAUCAUGAAUGCAAAUUGACAGGAAUGAAUAGGCCAUAUCUUAGUUCUGGCAAAAAUGUUGAGUAUUUUAUUCAUAGCAAUACAUGACUGUUGGAGAUACAAGGAGCUUGUGAUAAGUGGACCUGUCCAAGUGAACUUGUGAAAUUAUUUCUACAAAUAGUCUUUUCUCACUGUUUCAAGCACCACAAUUUGGAAGAUGAAAUGAGCUGACAGAAUUUUGUUUGGAUGUCAGAGAAAUGAAGUCUGGAUGCUGUUCUCUAGAACAAAUUGAAAGAAUUGUAGCUGAGGGUCUGCUGGUGAUAUUUGAAUGAUGGCUGAUGAAUCUAAGACUGAAGUGCAUGUAGUAGGAGAGAGUUAUAAUUUUUAAUAACAAUACUCUUCAAAACUAUGUUCCUGUUUAACUCCAUUAUCUAAUUUUUUGUGUCCUUGUCAAUUUCUGCGUGUGCUUCCUGCACAGCAAAUCUCCACUCUGCAGUUAGAAAAUCAUCUUUCAUAAUGAAUUAUGACAGUGUUUUGUUGUUAUGAAGUUCUCUUUAUUGUCUUUUGUGUUGCUCUGAAUUUCUGAUGUCUACUGCUCCUCAACCAACAUACAUCUUUCAAGAGCUUCCACUAACCUUUCUCCAAAAGGAAGAACACCCCAAAGAUCCAACUGUUGUAGUCACCUGAACUGAACAGCAGUAACAUUUGUUUUCUUAGUGGUGCAGAUGUUAAGACUGAUGAUCCUAUAACUCGGUAACUUUUCCUACUAUUCACAGUUUCAAGAUAAGAGGUUUGCA
Cyanistes caeruleus (blue tit) is the source of this 8452-nucleotide non-coding RNA. The record is from RefSeq and is a predicted model, not a curated record. NCBI's taxonomy places the organism in Eukaryota, Metazoa, Chordata, Aves, Passeriformes, Paridae.